GAUGAACGCUGGCGGCGUGCCUAACACAUGCAAGUCGAGCGGCAGCGCGGGGUGCUUGCACCCUGUCGGCGAGCGGCGGACGGCUGAGUAACGCGUGGGAACGUGCCCCAAGGUGAGGAAUAACUGCCCGAAAGGGUAGCUAAUACCGCAUAUUAUCUUCGGAUCAAAGGAUUUAUCCGCUUUGGGAGCGGCUCGCGUCGGAUUAGGUAGUUGGUGAGGUAAUGGCUCACCAAGCCGACGAUCCGUAGCUGGUCUGAGAGGAUGACCAGCCAGACUGGAACUGAGACACGGUCCAGACUCCUACGGGAGGCAGCAGUGAGGAAUCUUCCACAAUGGGCGAAAGCCUGAUGGAGCAACGCCGCGUGCAGGACGAAGGCCUUCGGGUUGUAAACUGCUUUUAUAAGUGAGGAAUAUGACGGUAACUUAUGAAUAAGGAUCGGCUAACUACGUG
RNAcentral lists this ribosomal RNA (451 nucleotides) under uncultured bacterium. Its description in RNAcentral is "partial 16S ribosomal RNA". It matches the Rfam family "Bacterial small subunit ribosomal RNA", at positions 28 to 507 of the family's 1533-position model. The record is from RNAcentral.